GACGAACGCUGGCGGCGUGCCUAAUACAUGCAAGUAGAACGCUGAAGGAGGAGCUUGCUUCUCUGGAUGAGUUGCGAACGGGUGAGUAACGCGUAGGUAACCUGCCUGGUAGUGGGGGAUAACUAUUGGAAACGAUAGCUAAUACCGCAUAAUAGCAGUUGUUGCAUGAUAACUGUUUGAAAGGUGCAAUUGCACCGCUACCAGAUGGACCUGCGUUGUAUUAGCUAGUUGGUGGGGUAACGGCUCACCAAGGCGACGAUACAUAGCCGACCUGAGAGGGUGAUCGGCCACACUGGGACGGAGACACGGCCCAGACUCCUACGGGAGGCAGCAGUAGGGAAUCUUCGGCAAUGGACGGAAGUCUGACCGAGCAACGCCGCGUGAGUGAAGAAGGUUUUCGGAUCGUAAAGCUCUGUUGUAAGAGAAGAACGAGUGUGAGAGUGGAAAGUUCACACUGUGACGGUAUCUUACCAGAAAGGGACGGCUAACUACGUG
Molecule: ribosomal RNA, 495 nt
Filed under: uncultured bacterium
Lineage: Bacteria
Description: partial 16S ribosomal RNA
Rfam family: Bacterial small subunit ribosomal RNA
Source: RNAcentral